AUGCUCUAAGGCGUACCCCGAAACAAGAUUUAAGCACAAACCAAACCAGUGGAAAGUAUAAACAUCUGAAGGCAAACUGCAUAAAAGAAACACAAACAAAACAGACAUACAAUUGGCAAAUAAUUCCACUUUCCCUGUUUUCUAAAGUUAGAACACUCAGAUCCCUCUUAUUGUGUCUUCCUAAGUAUGACAAACCCUCACCCAAUCCCUUGGCGUAAGAAGCCCAUCAAAACUUGCUUUAAGUUCCAAAACAGUGAAUCCAAACACACAACCCCAUCC
Molecule: long non-coding RNA, 279 nt
Filed under: Vigna radiata
Lineage: Eukaryota; Viridiplantae; Streptophyta; Magnoliopsida; Fabales; Fabaceae
Description: long non-coding RNA (VRAD_LNC017362)
Source: RNAcentral